CCUACGGGAUGCAGCAGUGAGGAAUAUUGGUCAAUGGACGCAAGCCUGAACCAGCCAUGCCGCGUGAAGGAUGACGGCUCUAUGAGUUGUAAACUGCUUUUGUACGAGGGUAAAGCCAGAUACGUGUAUCGGGUUGAAAGUAUCGUACGAAUAAGGAUCGACUAACUCCGUGCCAGCAGCCGCGGUAAUACGGAGGAUCCGAGCGUUAUCCGGAUUUAUUGGGUUUAAAGGGUGCGUAGGCGGUUUGAUAAGUUAGAGGUGAAAUGUCGGGGCUCAACCCCGAAACUGCCUCUAAUACUGUUGGACUAGAGAAUAGUUGAGGUAGGCGGAAUGUAUGGUGUAGCGGUGAAAUGCUUAGAGAUCAUACAGAACACCGAUUGCGAAGGCAGCUUACCAAACUAUAUCUGACGUUGAGGCACGAAAGCGUGGGUAGCAAACAGGAUUAGAUACCCCAGUAGUC
RNAcentral lists this ribosomal RNA (460 nucleotides) under uncultured bacterium. RNAcentral describes it as "partial 16S ribosomal RNA". It matches the Rfam family "Bacterial small subunit ribosomal RNA", at positions 338 to 795 of the family's 1533-position model. The record is from RNAcentral.